GUCACUGUGACCGAGUGGUUAAGGUGCUAGAUUAGAAAUCUGGUGUGUUUACACGCGCAGGUUCAAAUCCUGUCGGUGACG
Molecule: non-coding RNA, 81 nt
Organism: Anncaliia algerae PRA109
Lineage: Eukaryota; Fungi; Microsporidia; Tubulinosematidae
Source: Rfam